RNAcentral lists this ribosomal RNA (274 nucleotides) under uncultured bacterium. RNAcentral's name for it is "partial 16S ribosomal RNA". It matches the Rfam family "Bacterial small subunit ribosomal RNA", at positions 333 to 599 of the family's 1533-position model. The record is from RNAcentral.
AAAUUCCUACGGGGGGCAGCAGUAGGGAAUCUUCCACAAUGGACGAAAGUCUGAUGGAGCAACGCCGCGUGAGUGAAGAAGGGUUUCGGCUCGUAAAGCUCUGUUGGUAGUGAAGAAAGAUAGAGGUAGUAACUGGCCUUUAUUUGACGGUAAUUACUUAGAAAGUCACGGCUAACUACGUGCCAGCAGCCGCGGUAAUACGUAGGUGGCAAGCGUUAUCCGGAUUUAUUGGGCGUAAAGGGAACGCAGGCGGUCUUUUAAGUCUGAUGUGAAA